GAUCUACAUAUUUCUUUUUUUUUUUUUAAGCAGAGUUUGAAGAGAUUCAGCCGUGUGUAUGUUUGGCAUGAGAAAAGAGCUACACAAGAAGGAGAAACUUUCUCACCCUCUUUAUAAAUUAUUUCUUGUGAGUAAAGCAACAACGAAAAUUAGGCAAAUUAGAGCUAUUUCUUAACAUUUUUAAAAGCAAGUCAAGAACCUAAGCCCUGUAGUGAAUGAGUACUAUAAUGGGUGAGAUAACCCAUGUCUCUCCGAACACUUCUGAGAUGUUUAGGAAUUUAUUUUCAAUGUGAGAUAAAUUGGGAUCCCCAAGCCUAGGAACUUUUGAAUUGUUAUACUACUGUAUGCUUUCUUUUACAGUGAAGACCAGCACAAAGGAGAGAGGAAACUUGGGGCACAGUGGCUUGGCUGCCUGAUUUACUUCUCUGCAUCUCUAGUAUCCAAGCUGGUAGUCUAGACUCCGGAGAAACGCAACUUCAGAGCCUAAAAGGCCAGUGGUGGGACCUAUUUCAGACCUGCUUUUUGAUGUGAUGCAAGUUGCACCAGAAGCCUCUACUAGCAAUGUGAGAUGCCUGGAUGAGCGGGUUAAGAGGACCCAACUCCUGCUGUUUGUGCACAUGUGCACAGAUAACCUACGGUGGACACGCCAGCCUUGUGGGUAUCUACAGAGUCUCAGCCUGGCUACUUCAACCCAUCCGCUUUCAGACCUUCUGGUCCCAGGAUUUUUGCAGCUGGAUGUGUGUGGUCUUCACCUACCCCAGAGUGAUGGUAAAGGAGACAACGCAGAAGUCAUGAGAGGACUCUGGGAAGGAGAUUUAAGGCUGCUUCCAGAAGAGCCCUUUCUCCUUAGCAUCUGCAGCAUCCUGCUGUCAGGAAAGGCACAAGGAGGAGUCAGGCAUGAAACAUGAGCCAUGGUGACUGAAAACUAGUCUUUCUCACCAACAUGAAGACCUCAACUGUUUGUUCCAUGCAUGAACCAAGGCGACAGCAGCUUUCAGGGUUUUACAGUGCAACUGUGUCACAGCAGCUGGAGGAAGCAUUAAACCAGGUGAGUCAAGCUGGGAUAUCCAGGUUCUACACAGGACUCCUAUGAUCUUAAGCAUUGCUGAUGCUGCUUAGAUUUUCCACAUGACUUUAAGGACAAAUUUCAGCUCCAAAGCAGAGCUUCAUAGUGUGUCGUCAUAGGAAUGCAGCUGAGCUGCAAUGCCAGCUAAAGAUCAGAGUGAUAAGGACCACUUUAAUGCUAUAGAAUAAGUUGUGUCAUAGUAUAAUGGCCUUCAACCAAGGAAAAUGGGAACUAAAGCAGCUUUUCUAGGAGUCUACUUUCAUAUUACCAGGGUCUUUAGGCAGAAUGUGUGCAGGGGGUUGGUGGUCUUGAGAUCUUAGAAAUGGAGGGGACUAUAAACGGUUGUCAUAUGGUUAAUGUGUUCCAUAUAUCUGGAGAAUUCAUUAAGUGAUCUAUUAAUUACUGGUGCCAGUAUAGCAGAAGCAAGAGAGUGAAAAAACUAAUAGUUUGUUGGUACAGUCAACAAAGAGAAGGAAAAUAAGCAUCACCGAAGUUGUAAAUAUGUCACAGAAGUUCAAAAACUUAUGU
RNAcentral lists this long non-coding RNA (1594 nucleotides) under Calidris pugnax (ruff). Its description in RNAcentral is "lncRNA (ENSCPUG00000012357.1)". Lineage: Eukaryota; Metazoa; Chordata; Aves; Charadriiformes; Scolopacidae. The record is from RNAcentral.